ACUCUCUCUCUUGAGUCAAGACUUAUUGACAAUUUUGACUUGGAAAAUCUAGGGGCUAGCCCAGACUUAACAGUACUAUUACCAUGGAGAAUGAGUGAUAUCACUGAAAAAGUCUCUGUGUAGGUCCCUGUGUGGUUACUCAGUCAGUCUUUGUUUGAUCAAAUUGAGCAAAGGAUGAUGUCACAGUAGAUUCACAGUAAGAGAUACCACAGUCACACCACUGUUAUGAGAGGCUAUUUAUACAGAAAAGAGGAUCUCUGUGAAGCUAGACUUCAGAUGUUUUGAAAUUGUAGGUAGUGGAGAGCUCUGCUGGAGCUUGAUCAUUAAGGACGCCCACCCACAUGAUCUACCUCUAACCUCAGAAAUCAGUUGCAAUUCUCCAGGAAGUGGUAGUGUGAGAUUAUUUUAAUGGCAGGCACCAAGGAAUGAAUAUGGAAUCUUCAGCAUGCAGGGUAAGUGCUUUAUUGUGG
RNAcentral lists this long non-coding RNA (470 nucleotides) under Pogona vitticeps (central bearded dragon). Its description in RNAcentral is "lncRNA (ENSPVIG00000018087.1)". The record is from RNAcentral. Lineage: Eukaryota; Metazoa; Chordata; Lepidosauria; Squamata; Agamidae.